GUAGUCUCGCACAGAUGCAUAUCAAUAAGCGGAGGAAAAGAAACUAACAAGGAUUCCCCUAGUAGCGGCGAGUGAAGCUGGGAAGAGCUCAAAUUUGAAAUCUUAAAGGGUUUCCCUUUACGAAUUGUAGUUUAAAGAAGUGUUUUCUGUUGAGGUUUUGGUAAAAGUUCUUUGGAAUAGGACAUCAUAGAGGGUGAGAAUCCCGUAUUUGACCCUUACUUUCAACUUUGUGAUACACUUUCAAAGAGUCGGAUUGUUUGAGAAUGCAGUCCAAAAUGGGUGGUAAAUUUCAUCUAAAGCUAAAUAUUGGCGAGAGACCGAUAGCGAACAAGUACCGUGAGGGAAAGAUGAAAAGAACUUUGAAAAGAGAGUUAAACAGUACGUGAAAUUGUCAAAAGGGAAGCGUUUGACACCAGUGUUGUUUUUCUGAAAAUCAAUUAAAGAACUGUUUAUGCUAAGCUGUUUAGACUUUAUCAGCUAUACUGUUUAGUUUUGAGCUUUUCUUUAAUGCACUUUUCAGUUAUCAAGUCAACAUCAAUUUCUUUUGCUGUAAAAAAGCUUGAGGAAGGUGGCUUGAGAUUCGUCUUAAGUGUUUAUAGCCUCUUGCCUAUGCAGUCGGAGAGAUUGAGGUCUGCAGCGUAGAUCCUUCGGGGCUAAAUGCAUUUGUGCUAAGUUAUAGCAUUUCAUAGACAACUUGUUGACUAUGAUUUGUCUUGUAGCUUACUCGCUUAUGUUAUUUUACCUACGCUUAGGAUGUUGACAGCAGUAUAGACUGU
RNAcentral lists this ribosomal RNA (776 nucleotides) under uncultured Neocallimastigales. RNAcentral describes it as "partial large subunit ribosomal RNA". It matches the Rfam family "Eukaryotic large subunit ribosomal RNA", at positions 24 to 637 of the family's 3401-position model. Lineage: Eukaryota; Fungi; Neocallimastigomycota; Neocallimastigomycetes; Neocallimastigales. The record is from RNAcentral.